Molecule: ribosomal RNA, 505 nt
Filed under: uncultured bacterium
Lineage: Bacteria
Description: bacterial SSU rRNA
Rfam family: Bacterial small subunit ribosomal RNA
Source: RNAcentral
GCAGCAGUGGGGAAUCUUAGACAAUGGGCGCAAGCCUGAUCUAGCCAUGCCGCGUGAGUGAUGAAGGCCUUAGGGUCGUAAAGCUCUUUCGCCAGGGAUGAUAAUGACAGUACCUGGUAAAGAAACCCCGGCUAACUCCGUGCCAGCAGCCGCGGUAAUACGGAGGGGGUUAGCGUUGUUCGGAAUUACUGGGCGUAAAGCGUACGUAGGCGGAUCAGAAAGUUAGAGGUGAAAUCCCAGGGCUCAACCCUGGAACUGCCUUUAAAACUCCUGGUCUAGAGAUCGUGAGAGGUGAGUGGAAUUCCGAGUGUAGAGGUGAAAUUCGUAGAUAUUCGGAGGAACAUCAGUGGCGAAGGCGGCUCACUGGCACGAUACUGACGCUGAGGUACGAAAGUGUGGGGAGCAAACAGGAUUAGAUACCCUGGUAGUCCACACCGUAAACGAUGAAUGCCAGACGUCAGGGGGCUUGCCCUUUGGUGUCACACCUAACGGAUUAAGCAUCCGC